GGUAUAGCUCAGUGGUAGAGCACGUGCUUAGCAUGCGGGAGGUCCUGGGUUCAAUCCCCAGUACC
Molecule: transfer RNA, 65 nt
Filed under: Camelus dromedarius (Arabian camel)
Lineage: Eukaryota; Metazoa; Chordata; Mammalia; Artiodactyla; Camelidae
Also listed under: 1 other name
Rfam family: tRNA
About the family: Transfer RNA (tRNA) molecules are approximately 80 nucleotides in length. Their secondary structure includes four short double-helical elements and three loops (D, anti-codon, and T loops).
Source: Rfam by way of RNAcentral